UGCAAGUCGAGCGAGAAAGGGUAGCAAUACCUGAGUAAAGCGGCGCACGGGUGAGUAACACGUGGAUAACCUGCCUCAAAGUGGGGGAUAACACCGGGAAACCGGUGCUAAUACCGCAUACUCUGACGAGACCUGAGGGUUUUGUCAGCAAAGGAGCAAUUCGCUAUGAGAGGGGUCCGCGGCUGAUUAGCUAGUUGGUGAGGUAAUGGCUCACCAAGGCAACGAUCAGUAGCCGGUCUGAGAGGACGGUCGGCCACACUGGAACUGAGACACGGUCCAGACUCCUACGGGAGGCAGCAGUGGGGAAUUUUUGGCAAUGGGCGAAAGCCUGACCAAGCAACACCGCGCGGAUGAUGAAGUAUCUCGGUACGUAAAAUCCUUUCGACGGGGACGAAGCCGCAAGGUUGACGGUACCCGUAGAAGAAGCCCCGGCUAACUCCGUGCCAGCAGCCGCGGUAAUACGGGGGGGGCAAGCGUUGUUCGGAAUUACUGGGCGUAAAGGGCGCGUAGGCGGCCUGCUAAGUCGGGUGUGAAAACUCUGGGCUCAACCCAGAGCCUGCAUUCGAAACUGACGGGCUUGAGUUCUGGAGGGGAAAGCGGAAUUCCUGGUGUAGCGGUGAAAUGCGUAGAUAUCAGGAGGAACACCGGUGGCGAAGGCGGCUUUCUGGACAGAAACUGACGCUGAGGCGCGAAAGCUAGGGGAGCAAACAGGAUUAGAUACCCUGGUAGUCCUAGCCCUAAACGAUGGAUACUUGCUGUGAGGGGGAUUGAAUCCCUUCGUGGCGAAGCUAACGCAUUAAGUAUCCCGCCUGGGGAGUACGGUCGCAAGGCUGAACUCAAAGGAAUUGACGGGGCCCGCACAAGCGGUGGAGUAUGUGGUUUAAUUCGACGCAACGCGAAGAACCUUACCUGGGCUCGAACGGCUAGUGACA
Molecule: ribosomal RNA, 932 nt
Filed under: uncultured Acidobacteriaceae bacterium
Lineage: Bacteria; Pseudomonadati; Acidobacteriota; Terriglobia; Terriglobales; Acidobacteriaceae
Description: bacterial SSU rRNA
Rfam family: Bacterial small subunit ribosomal RNA
Source: RNAcentral